RNAcentral lists this long non-coding RNA (798 nucleotides) under Manihot esculenta (cassava). RNAcentral describes it as "long non-coding RNA (MESC_LNC009238)". The record is from RNAcentral. Lineage: Eukaryota; Viridiplantae; Streptophyta; Magnoliopsida; Malpighiales; Euphorbiaceae.
GAUUAACAACAUACUAUGGUCAAGCAUGACUCUAAACUGCCAUAAGCAUCAUUACAUUACAUUUCAAUACUGUACUUUUAGAUUACAUCACAUUCAUGUCCACAUCUAUCUAUUACAUAAAACAUGACACUACUCCUGCUGACCUCCUGGUCUACCCUGUACCUGCAAACCUGGGGGUUAAGGGAGAGGGGUGAGCUAUAAAGCCCAGUGAGCAGAAUAAUAAAACAUUUAAAUCAUAUGCUAGAAUGGAAUGCAUCACAUCACAGACAAUUCACAUCAAGGAUGAACUUGUCACUAUUUAGCCCUCCAUACGGUCUAAUCAUGCCAGGGGCGUAGAGCAGGCACGCCUGGACUUCCAUACCAUAACAUACAUAUCCAAUCAUACCGGGGGCGUAGUGCAGACACGCCCGGACUUUCUCUUACAUAGUGCCAGGGGCGUAGAGCAGGCACGCCUGGACUUCCAUAUCAUAUCAUCAUGUCAUAACAUAUGAGGGCUAAUGGAUCAUUCAACAUUCAUCCACAUCAACAACAUAAUAUGCAAUGCAACAUAUUCGUGAAUUCUAAUGCAAGCACCCUAACAUAUCUCAUGGCAUUCAUGAUGCGUGAAUCAUGCUAAAACUUUCAUUAUUUGCUUUGAACAUAAAGAGUUAUUCCACUCACCUCUAGCUGAAGCUCUAAUGACUCUGAAGCAGCUAUCUCACUGCUGAGGUCCUCGGUUCCUCGGGUCCGAACCUACACAGGUGGACUCAAAUGAGGGACCAAACAUCCAUGAACAUGACUCUAAAAUACUCCCCAAAA